Molecule: ribosomal RNA, 335 nt
Filed under: uncultured Ruminococcus sp.
Lineage: Bacteria; Bacillati; Bacillota; Clostridia; Eubacteriales; Oscillospiraceae
Description: partial 16S ribosomal RNA
Source: RNAcentral
GGAGUCUGGGCCGUGUCUCAGUCCCAAUGUGGCCGUUCAACCUCUCAGUCCGGCUACCGAUCGCGGUCUUGGUGAGCCGUUACCUCACCAACUAACUAAUCGGACGCGAGUCCAUCUCCGAGCGAUAAAUCUUUGAUAUAUCUGUCAUGCGGCAGUUAUAUGUUAUGCGGUAUUAGCGUUCUUUUCAGAACGUUAUUCCCCUCUCAGAGGCAGGUUACUCACGCGUUACUCACCCGUCCGCCACUAAGUUAAGAAGCAAGCUCCUUAACUCCGUUCGACUUGCAUGUGUUAGGCACGCCGCCAGCGUUCGUCCUGAGCCACGGAGUCAAACUACU